GACGAACGCUGGCGGCGUGCUUAACACAUGCAAGUCGAACGGAAAGGCCCUGCUUUUGUGGGUUGCUCGAGUGCCGAACGGGUAGUAAAACCGGAGGAACCCUGCCCUGGCUUUUGGGUAAAUUUAAGGAACCUGGGGUAAAUACCGAAUAGGGGCCCCUCCUGCAUGGUGGGGGUUGAAAAGUUUCGGCGGUUGGGGAUGGACUCGCGGCUUAUCAGCUUGUUGGUGGGGUAGUGGCUUACCAAGGCUUUGACGGGUAGCCGGCCUGAGAGGGUGACCGGCCACAUUGGGACUGAGAUACGGCCCAGACUCCUACGGGAGGCAGCAGUGGGGAAUAUUGCACAAUGGGCGGAAGCCUGAUGCAGCAACGCCGCGUGCGGGAUGACGGCCUUCGGGUUGUAAACCGCUUUCGCCUGUGACGAAGCGUGAGUGACGGUAAUGGGUAAAGAAGCACCGGCUAACUACGUG
Molecule: ribosomal RNA, 468 nt
Filed under: uncultured bacterium
Lineage: Bacteria
Description: partial 16S ribosomal RNA
Rfam family: Bacterial small subunit ribosomal RNA
Source: RNAcentral